RNAcentral lists this ribosomal RNA (1714 nucleotides) under Triticum aestivum (bread wheat). RNAcentral's name for it is "partial small subunit ribosomal RNA". Lineage: Eukaryota; Viridiplantae; Streptophyta; Magnoliopsida; Poales; Poaceae. The record is from RNAcentral.
CUCCAUUUGAAACCACCACCACGGCCGCCCCCAAACGGUCACCACCACCGCGACGGCUCCGAAGACCGAAGGCCAAAGCGCUCGCCCCCAUCCUCCUAGCCAGCCCGACCGAUCCGGCGGAGGGCGCUCUACGGCGGCGCCAUGGCCUCCCCCAACCCCGCCGCGGCCGACGCGGCGGGGCUGCAGAAGAAGAUGGAGGCCGCGGCGGGGGGAAGCGAGGGGCCGCCGCCCGCAUACGGCGCGGCGGUCGCGGAGCAGGCCCCGCCCAGGAGGCUCGCGCCGGCGCGGAAGGAGCGCGUCUGCACCGCCAAGGACCGCAUCAGCCGCAUGACGCCCUGCGCCGCCGGGAAGCGCAGCUCCAUCUACCGCGGGGUCACCCGGCAUAGAUGGACAGGGCGAUACGAGGCUCACCUUUGGGACAAAAGCACAUGGAAUCAGAAUCAGAACAAAAAAGGGAAACAAGUAUAUUUGGGCGCAUAUGAUGAUGAAGAGGCUGCGGCAAGAGCCUAUGAUCUUGCUGCAUUGAAAUACUGGGGAGCUGGAACACAGAUAAAUUUUCCUGUCUCCGAUUAUACAAGAGAUGUUGAAGAGAUGCAGAUGAUCUCCAAGGAGGACUAUCUUGUAUCUCUUCGAAGAAAGAGCAGUGCCUUCUCUAGGGGAUUACCAAAAUAUCGUGGGCUUCCCAGGCAGCUCCAUAAUUCCAGAUGGGAUGCUUCUUUGGGACAACUACUUGGCAAUGACUACAUGAACCUCAGUUGUGGAAAGGGCAUCGCACUGGAUGGAAAAUUUGCAGGAAGCUUUGGGUUAGAGAGGAAAAUUGAUCUAACAAAUUACAUUAGGUGGUGGGUACCCAAAAAGACACGGCAAUCAGAUACAUCAAAAGCAGAAGAGGUUGCUGAUGAAAUCCGUGCUAUAGAAGGUUCAGUGCAACUGACUGAGGCCUAUAAGCUGCCUACUCUUGGCCUCGGUUCCCAUUCAAACCCCUCUUCAGCGGGGCUAUCUGCGUGCAGUAUCUUAUCUCAGUCUGGUGCCUUCAAAAGCUUCUUGGAGAAGUCUACAAAAUUAUCUGAAGAAUGUACAUUUAGCAAAGAAAUAGAUGAAGGAAAGGUUGUUGUGUCAGUACCUACUACUGGACAUCAUACAUCUCCAGUUGACAUUAACAUGAAUGGGUUGCUAGUACAAAGAGCUCCGUACACAUUGGCCCCUGUUAUGCCUACACCAAUGAAAAGUACCUGGAGCCCUGCCGAUCCUUCCGCGGACCAUCUAUUUUGGAGCAACUUCAUCUUGCCAUCGAGUCAACCUGUCACAAUGGCGACAAUAACGACAACAACGUUUGCAAAGAAUGAGGUGAGUUCAAGUGAUCCAUUCAAGAGCCAGGAGUAUGAACAUACCAAAUAGCGAGGAUAUUUUAGCUGCAGGUUGAUGACAAUGUCGUUCACCUCCGGCGUGUUUCGUGCCGCCAAUCUUUUGAUGUGGCGGCUUGUGAGCAAUACUCUUUGUAUCCAUACUUCACAGAACAUGCAUAGAAGGUAAGAAAAUCAUAGUUAUGUAAUAUACAGUGGCUAAUGCCCAGGAAACAAUGUCUAGCUGUAAAGCCGUCUGUAUAUAUUGCUGUUGUCUACAGAUUUGAGGAAGAGAACAGAAAUAGGAAUGUGCUUUUUGUAUGCUUAGUUGCUUAUCUUGUGCAAAUAUUUCGACUUUUGAGUUAAAGAAC